This 427-nucleotide long non-coding RNA is filed under the name Helianthus annuus (common sunflower). The record is from RNAcentral. Lineage: Eukaryota; Viridiplantae; Streptophyta; Magnoliopsida; Asterales; Asteraceae.
CCGGUCCAAUUUAUCUUCUGGUGAACGUGCUGCUGGCUAAGAGGUUCAGGAAGUUUCAUUGGUGGCUCUAACCGGUUAUGGAUUAUAUGAGUUGCUAAAUGUGUUGAGAUUGGAUUGGCACAGAUUAUGCUGCUAAUUUUCUCAUAGUACAUACCCACUCUUAUGAAGGGAAAAAGCCAAGUAUAGGACCGAUUUGUUGUGUAAAAUGGUUGGUUUUAAUUUACUGGUUGCUGAAUGAUAAGGAUAUGUUUUUCUAGCACGAGAUUAUUGAUGCUACUAGAAGAGGAAGCAGGUUGUUUAACGUUGGGGGUUUUUUAGAUGAGACCACUUGUAUUUAUGGGAUCACUUUGCUUUUGUAAGGACUUGUGGGUUUAAUUUGGAUGAAAGGCUGGAUUAGGUAUCAAACAAUUCUUUUGCAAAGGUACCC